This is an unclassified non-coding RNA of Macaca fascicularis (crab-eating macaque), 117 nucleotides long. It matches the Rfam family "Metazoan signal recognition particle RNA". From Rfam's summary of the family: The signal recognition particle (SRP) is a universally conserved ribonucleoprotein. NCBI's taxonomy places the organism in Eukaryota, Metazoa, Chordata, Mammalia, Primates, Cercopithecidae. The record is from Ensembl.
GCCGGGCGUGGUGACUCACGCCUGUAAUCCCAGCUCUUUGGGAGGCUGAGGCAGGUGGAUCACCUGAGGUCGGGAGUUCAAGACCAGCCUGACCAACAUGGAGAAACCCCGUCUCUA